Long non-coding RNA from Perognathus longimembris pacificus (Pacific pocket mouse), 154 nucleotides. RefSeq lists it as uncharacterized. Lineage: Eukaryota; Metazoa; Chordata; Mammalia; Rodentia; Heteromyidae. The record is from RefSeq and is a predicted model, not a curated record. The transcript is spliced from 3 exons.
GUCACUGGACUUGGACUCAGGGCUUGAGUGCUCAGGGCCUGAGUGCUGUCCCUCUGCUCUCCAGCUCAAGGCUAACACUCUGCCACAUUUGAGCUCUAACAUAACUCACAACUCUGUUGCCAGCACUCUGCUGGCUGAUUAGAGAUGAAACUCU